RNAcentral lists this ribosomal RNA (214 nucleotides) under uncultured bacterium. Its description in RNAcentral is "partial 16S ribosomal RNA". It matches the Rfam family "Bacterial small subunit ribosomal RNA", at positions 118 to 334 of the family's 1533-position model. The record is from RNAcentral.
UGAGCAACCUGCCCUUGACUCUGGAAUAACAGUGGAAACAGCUGCUAAUACCGGAUAUGACCGACGACGACAUCGUCGUGAGUGGAAAGCCCUGGCGGUCAAGGAUGGGCUCGCGGCCUAUCAGCUUGUUGGUGAGGUAACGGCUCACCAAGGCUUCGACGGGUAGCCGGCCUGAGAGGGCGACCGGCCACACUGGGACUGAGAUACGGCCCAG